RNAcentral lists this ribosomal RNA (263 nucleotides) under uncultured bacterium. RNAcentral's name for it is "partial 16S ribosomal RNA". It matches the Rfam family "Bacterial small subunit ribosomal RNA", at positions 1238 to 1500 of the family's 1533-position model. The record is from RNAcentral.
UACAGAGGGCGGCGAAGCCGCGAGGUGGAGCGAAUCCCAAAAAGCCGGUCUAAGUUCGGAUUGCAGGCUGCAACCCGCCUGCAUGAAGUCGGAAUCGCUAGUAAUCGCGAGUCAGCGUAUCGCGGUGAAUACGUUCCCGGGUCUUGUACACACCGCCCGUCACACCAUGGGAGUUGGCAACACCCGAAGUCGAUGAGCUAACCGUAAGGAGGCAGUCGCCUAAGGUGGGGUUGAUAACUGGGGUGAAGUCGUAACAAGGUAAC